This is an RNA transcript of Spinacia oleracea (spinach), 1762 nucleotides long. RefSeq lists it as uncharacterized. NCBI's taxonomy places the organism in Eukaryota, Viridiplantae, Streptophyta, Magnoliopsida, Caryophyllales, Amaranthaceae. The record is from RefSeq and is a predicted model, not a curated record. The transcript is spliced from 4 exons.
UCACGCGGGUGACCCGGGUUCGAUCCCCGGCAACGGCGUUGUUAUUUUUUGUUUCUCGAUACAUUUCGUUAUUCUGAUAAAAGCAGUCACCACUCACCACCGCGAACCGGAGGAGACUGCGAAAUUAGGGUUCACUCUCGAUAAAAAUUUGUUUGAUCAGUGUGAUAGCAAGUUUCCCCAGCUUGGUUGCUUUGACUGGAUAGAAUUUGAAGUUCCACUAUUAAAAGAAAAGUGUAGUUAUCUGAAAUUAGGUUGUUAGAGUUAAAGGGAGGCAAUGAAACUCUUUGAUGCUCACUGUCACCUUCAAGACCCGAGAAUUUUUAGCCUAGCCCCACGAUUAAUCAGUUCAUCUCUUGAUUCUGGGAUUGCUCAUUUUGCGGUUAAUGGGGUUUCAGAAAAAGACUGGCAUUUGGUCAAGCAGAUGAGUGAGUCUUAUCCAUCUGUUGUUCCUUGUUUUGGUGUUCAUCCAUGGUUUGUUCCUGAGAGGACGGCGGGCUGGUUUACCAUUUUGAGACAGUUUUUUGAUUCUACACCUUCUGCAGCUGUUGGGGAGAUUGGUUUAGACAAAGGGUCACGGGGGAAACAAAUUGAUUUUGAUGUUCAGGUUGAAGUUUUCAAGAAACAGCUGGAAUUAGCGAAAGAGCUGAGAAGGCCAGCAUCUGUCCAUUGUGUCCGUGCCUUUGGUGACCUUCUUGAUGUAAUGAAGGCAACUGGGCCUUUUCCUGAUGGUGUAAUUCUUCAUUCUUACUUAGGAUCUGCUGAGAUGGUUCCUGAAUUAGCAAGGCUUGGUGCUUAUUUUUCAUUCUCUGGAUUUCUUAUGUCAAUGAAAUCACAAAAGGCAAGGAAGAUGCUGAAGGCGGUGCCUUCUGAUAGAAUCCUGCUCGAGACUGAUGCACCAGAUGCUCUGCCUAAUUCGAAGUUGGGUGAUUUAUUCUUGGUAGAAGGUGAUCCUUCUCUUACUCCUGAACUUCAGGCAUUAGGAGAGAAUCCAUAUUUGAGGGCUCACAGUGACUUGUCAGAAGUCGAGAAAGAAGUACCAGAAUUGUCCAAGGAAAUGUUGAAUCAUCCGGCUAAUAUUCAUAAUGUACUGGCCUAUGUGGCCUCCCUGCUUGAGAUGACUGAAGAGGAACUUGCCGGAAUAAGCUACUCAAAUGCAAUUCGCUUGUUCACUUAUGAAGGGUCUAAAAUAUCCCAAGAAGGGUUCGAGCAAUGUGACAACUAAUUGCAGAUGGAGGAAGCACUUUUAGUUACUUGGAUAGAAAAUACACUAGGAAUAUCUGAUUGAAAUAUUGAGCUAACCCUUUCCAUCUCAUCAUCUAGUUCAUUAUCUUGUUCUGAUAAUGCUGCUGCAGGAACUGUUCCGGAGCAAUCAGUGGAAGGCUAAAUCCCGUCUGUUGUGCAUCACAUACUACUUUGUAUCUGCGCCAAAUGUUCGGCCAACGUUUGUGGCACCUGCUAAUUCCAUGUUGCAGAGGACGCAGACGUAAAUAUUAAUAGGUCUUGAGUUUGCUGUCAUCUUGAUCAAGCUUCUAAUUAUCAUCUUUGUGCUGUUUACACUCCAUUGUUGUCAAUAAAAUCAAUAUCAUCUUGUGGAAAUUGUUGUAGUUGUUUCUUUGAUCUCAUUGUAAAAGGAUGUUCUUAACCUUUUUCACCCCCCACAAUGAUUUGUACAGGAGAUAUUUGUGUACCUGUUUCCUUGACAGCUAAAGUGAAUGUCACACUUUCCUUUUUGGGUUGUCCCGGGAAAAGAAGUUCACUCCCA